Molecule: long non-coding RNA, 1196 nt
Organism: Ficedula albicollis (Collared flycatcher)
Lineage: Eukaryota; Metazoa; Chordata; Aves; Passeriformes; Muscicapidae
Source: Ensembl
GCUUUGGCUGCGUCGGGUUCCUGAGGGGGCAGUGGGAUGGGGGGAGGGGUCAGGCCAGGCCUCGUUGUCCCCAGCGGUCCUUAAGUGUCCCAAAAUUAGGGCAUGGGAUCUUGGAGAGGUUCCCUGGUCAUGACCGUGGCCAUGAGAUGAGAGUGACCAUGAGUGACACAGCCCUGAGAUGACCAUGGCCAUGGGAUGACCAUGACACAGCCACAGCCCCGACCAUGAGAUGAUUUGGACCAAGACCUGACCAUGGGUUGGCCAUGGCACCACCAUGGUCUUGAGGUGACCCUGGUGUGGUCAUCUCAUUGUCCUGAUCAUCUCAUGGUCGUGGUCGUGUCCUGAUCGCCAUCAUCUUAUGCUAUUGAGUCCCCUGGGGUUUGCAUCCCUUCCCACCGAGGCAAUGGAUUGUUACUGGCAAUCAGGGCGGGAGCUGGUGAUCGUGUGGGCCUGAUCUUUGGUCAGAUUAAAAAAAUCUUACAAGGGAUGGGGCAUUUUGGUGAAAGAAGGAACGACUUCAAUGGGCCUCAUCAAAAAAACGUGGGAGGGUGGUUUGAAUGGGCACGGUGAGGUGGUGGGCUUGGGUGUUACCUUCAGCCAUGAAUCCAGGCAGGUUAGUAUGGGAACGAAUACGUGCAACAAAAUAAGGUUGUUUCCUUGAGGAAAAUAAGGAAACCAAACUUUUGAGCCAAUUAUAUAAUUUUUCAUUGGAAAUAAACUUGAAGAAGGGAACCUUCUACUUGCUUCACGAUGCCUGGUUAGUAUGGGAACGAAUACGUGCAACAAAAUAAGGUUGUUUCCUUGAGGAAAAUGAGGAAACCAAACUUUUGAACCAAUUAUAUAAUUUUUCAUUGGAAAUAAACUUGAAGAAGGGAACCUUCUACUUGCUUCAUGAUGCCUGCAACAUAAAAAUAAUCUGUAACUAAAUUAAAAGGAAUUAAACAUUUGGAGAAAACACUGACAACCGCUGCAAGUUCCACAAGCUGUGGUGAUUCUUCUUCAAGUUCAAUGUCUGAUUCCCAGUUGUGACUGUUAGGGUCUUUCCUUGUGGUAACUGAUUUACAUGAUUUGCCGGAGCCAUCUGUAAAAAUAGUAAGAGCAUUAAGAGGGGUGUGACUUUCUAGGGGUUUUGGAUGAAAUUCAAAGGAAGGUGUAGUAACUUAUGCUUUGGAAAAUGAACUGAGAUUUGUCUGGGA